AUGUGUCUGUCUCAUGUCGAUGUUUCCCUCUCUAUCCACCCCUGCUCCUCCCUCCCUUCCCUUCUCUCUAGAAAUCAAUGGGGAAAAUAUCCUUGGGUGAGGAUUAAAAAAAUAAAAAUAGUGAAAAGAUCCUAAAGCCACUUUCCCCUGCCUUCUCCUACUUCAUGGGUAAACUUCGUGGUUAAGUAGCUUCUCUUUCCUCCCCCCAUAUUCAGCCCACCCAGCUGCCUCCCGCUCCUCAGAGCCGCGCACUGCCCUGGCUAAGGUCACCAAGAGUUGGCCAAACUCAGUGCACUUUUCAGUCCGUACCCCCUUGACCUCUCAGCUGCGGGGGCUCCCAGCCCUGUCCUCCCCAUCACCCACGCCCUCCCUGGCACACCCUCCCAGCAUCUAGGAUACGUACCCGGUUUUCACCUUCCUCUCAGGCCCCUUGUUUUCAGGCUCAUCUGCCUGGAGCCAUCUGAACGACAACUACUAGCACUCCUGUCCCGGGCCUUCUCCCCUCGGGAAUGUCAUCGCCCCCGUUGCCAGAGCCACCCCAGAGCUCGGACCAUGCCACCUCGCUAUCUCAGCCCAGCCCCUUCUGAGCUGCAGCCUGACACCCAGAAGCCUCCCAGCUAGAGAACUGAAGGUCGCCCCACGGCAGGAGAACGAGGCACCUCCUGCUUUGACCUUCCAGCUUUCAUGGAUCUUCCCUUCUUUUCUGGAGAACUUCCUACUCACCCAGCUCUCCCAACUUGUGGAUGCAUUCCUGGAAUUCUGCAGUCAUGUCCCUACUCCCACCUUCCCCCAAAAAGCCACCCCAAGGAAACUGAAGACUCAUAUCCGGAGAAAAGUCAUUAGCCAAUUGCACAUGCUUCUGGAAUGAAUAAGGGAAUAGAUGAAUAAAGGAAUGAAUAUAACAGUGAGUCAAUGAAAAAGAGGAUAAGUGAAUUACUGAAGUCAACGGAAAUUUCUUAAGCCCCUGAUACCAACCAUGCUAGAUGCUGUACUCACAAGAUCCCUCUGCUCCUGGCUCACUGCUUAUGGGGGGAAAUAGACAUUAAACAUACACACACACACACACACACACACACACACACACACACACAUACACACACUCAAAUAAAGA
This is a long non-coding RNA of Myotis myotis, 1111 nucleotides long. RefSeq lists it as uncharacterized. Lineage: Eukaryota; Metazoa; Chordata; Mammalia; Chiroptera; Vespertilionidae. The record is from RefSeq and is a predicted model, not a curated record. The transcript is spliced from 2 exons.